GCAGUCGUACGCUUCUUUUUCCACCGGAGCUUGCUCCACCGGAAAAAGAAGAGUGGCGAACGGGUGAGUAACACGUGGGUAACCUGCCCAUCAGAAGGGGAUAACACUUGGAAACAGGUGCUAAUACCGUAUAACAAUCGAAACCGCAUGGUUUUGAUUUGAAAGGCGCUUUCGGGUGUCGCUGAUGGAUGGACCCGCGGUGCAUUAGCUAGUUGGUGAGGUAACGGCUCACCAAGGCCACGAUGCAUAGCCGACCUGAGAGGGUGAUCGGCCACAUUGGGACUGAGACACGGCCCAAACUCCUACGGGAGGCAGCAGUAGGGAAUCUUCGGCAAUGGACGAAAGUCUGACCGAGCAACGCCGCGUGAGUGAAGAAGGUUUUCGGAUCGUAAAACUCUGUUGUUAGAGAAGAACAAGGAUGAGAGUAACUGUUCAUCCCUUGACGGUAUCUAACCAGAAAGCCACGGCUAACUACGUGCCAGCAGCCGCGGUAAUACGUAGGUGGCAAGCGUUGUCCGGAUUUAUUGGGCGUAAAGCGAGCGCAGGCGGUUUCUUAAGUCUGAUGUGAAAGCCCCC
This 576-nucleotide ribosomal RNA is filed under the name Enterococcus durans. RNAcentral's name for it is "bacterial SSU rRNA". It matches the Rfam family "Bacterial small subunit ribosomal RNA", at positions 57 to 605 of the family's 1533-position model. The record is from RNAcentral. Lineage: Bacteria; Bacillati; Bacillota; Bacilli; Lactobacillales; Enterococcaceae.